CGCAGCCGCGGUAAUUCCAGCUCCAAUAGCGUAUAUUAAAGUUGUUGCAGUUAAAAAGCUCGUAGUUGAAUUUCGGGAUCAAUAUGUCGGUCGUGCCUCGGUACGUACUGGCAUCAUUGGUUUCUCCCUUCUGAUGAACCAUGAUGCCAUUAAUUUGGUGUCGUGGGGAAUCAGGACUGUUACUUUGAAAAAUUAGAGUGUUUAAAGCAGGCUCACGCUUGAAUACAUUAGCAUGGAAUAAUGAAAUAGGACGUUUGAUUCUAUUUUGUUGGUUUCUAGGAUCGACGUAAUGAUUAAUAGGGAUAGUUGGGGGCAUUAGUAUUCAAUUGUCAGAGGUGAAAUUCUUGGAUUUAUUGAAGACUAACUACUGCGAAAGCAUUUGCCAAGGAUGUUUUCAUUAAUCAAGAACGAAAGUUAGGGGAUCGAAGACGAUCAGAUACCGUCGUAGUCUUAACCAUAAACUAUGCCGACUAGGGAUCGGAUGAUGUUAAUUUUUAAUGA
This 501-nucleotide unclassified non-coding RNA is filed under the name uncultured Glomus. RNAcentral's name for it is "SSU rRNA". It matches the Rfam family "Eukaryotic small subunit ribosomal RNA", at positions 569 to 1074 of the family's 1831-position model. RNAcentral also lists the same sequence under 1 other name. Lineage: Eukaryota; Fungi; Glomeromycota; Glomeromycetes; Glomerales; Glomeraceae. The record is from RNAcentral.